CGAGCGUUGUCCGGAAUCAUUGGGCGUAAAGAGCUCGUAGGCGGCCGGUUGCGUCUGCUGUGAAAUCCCGGGGCUUAACCCCGGGCGUGCAGUGGAUACUGGCUGGCUGGAGGCAGGCAGGGGAGAAUGGAAUUUCCGGUGUAGCGGUGAAAUGCGCAGAUAUCGGGAGGAACACCGGUGGCGAAGGCGGUUCUCUGGGCCUGUGCUGACGCUGAGGAGCGAAAGCGUGGGGAGCGAACAGG
This 242-nucleotide ribosomal RNA is filed under the name uncultured bacterium. RNAcentral describes it as "partial 16S ribosomal RNA". It matches the Rfam family "Bacterial small subunit ribosomal RNA", at positions 535 to 776 of the family's 1533-position model. The record is from RNAcentral.